This is a long non-coding RNA of Apis dorsata (giant honeybee), 321 nucleotides long. RefSeq lists it as uncharacterized. NCBI's taxonomy places the organism in Eukaryota, Metazoa, Arthropoda, Insecta, Hymenoptera, Apidae. The transcript is spliced from 3 exons. The record is from RefSeq and is a predicted model, not a curated record.
AAGUAUAUGACAAAUGUAAAAGCAACGAGACGAUAAAUAAAAAUUGAUCGUACAAUUGGAAGCGUAGGAUCGUCAAAAGCAAUCUUUCUACUACCCGCCUUCUACUAUCGAACCCUCGAAAUGGAAGGACGUUUAUUCGAGCACUUCCAUUCUAGAGCAUAUGAAAUGCGUUUCGUGUAUAUGUGGCUCGCAACGAGGCCGUAUCGCGAGGGUGUAUUCAAUCGGCGAUCGCGUUACCGCAUACAGCCCAACGCUAUUGAAUGGAGAACGUGCGUGUUCGUUUUCGGGAUAUUAAAUGUAAUAUGGGGAAGAAAAAAAAAA